Molecule: non-coding RNA, 79 nt
Organism: Podarcis lilfordi (Lilford's wall lizard)
Lineage: Eukaryota; Metazoa; Chordata; Lepidosauria; Squamata; Lacertidae
Source: the annotation of a GenBank genome assembly
GCUGGAUAGCUCCGUUGGUUAGAGCAUGGUGCUGAUAAUGCCUGGGUUGCAAGUUCAAUCCCUGUUUGGGAGAGCUGCA